Octopus sinensis (East Asian common octopus) is the source of this 244-nucleotide long non-coding RNA. RefSeq lists it as uncharacterized. NCBI's taxonomy places the organism in Eukaryota, Metazoa, Mollusca, Cephalopoda, Octopoda, Octopodidae. The record is from RefSeq and is a predicted model, not a curated record. The transcript is spliced from 3 exons.
UUUUGAGAUCAAUUGGGUACCAGACAACGAUUCUGGAUUAUUUUUCCUGCUUUUUUUACUUGAUUUUUGAGAGCAGUCAAGUUCAUUUUUAGUAUUCUCGUUUGUGAGAGCAGUCAAGUUUAUUUCAGAUACUCUCAUUUUAACAAUCAUCUCUGACUAAUCAUUGAAAGGACGUUGGUGUUGCCUUGGCAGAGGUUUGCACUCUCUGAGUGCUCUUGUUCAUAUUUAUACUGAUGGUGGUGAA